GUAGGGAAUCUUCCUCAAUGGGCGCAAGCCUGAUGGAGCAACACCGCGUGAGUGAAGAAGGGUUUCGGCUCGUAAAGCUCUGUUGUUAAAGAAGAACACGUAUGAGAGUAACUGUUCAUACGUUGACGGUAUUUAACCAGAAAGUCACGGCUAACUACGUGCCAGCAGCCGCGGUAAUACGUAGGUGGCAAGCGUUAUCCGGAUUUAUUGGGCGUAAAGAGAGUGCAGGCGGUUUUCUAAGUCUGAUGUGAAAGCCUUCGGCUUAACCGGAGAAGUGCAUCGGAAACUGGAUAACUUGAGUGCAGAAGAGGGUAGUGGAACUCCAUGUGUAGCGGUGGAAUGCGUAGAUAUAUGGAAGAACACCAGUGGCGAAGGCGGCUACCUGGUCUGCAACUGACGCUGAGACUCGAAAGCAUGGGUAGCGAACAGGAUUAGAAACCCGAGUAGUCC
Molecule: ribosomal RNA, 450 nt
Filed under: uncultured bacterium
Lineage: Bacteria
Description: partial 16S ribosomal RNA
Rfam family: Bacterial small subunit ribosomal RNA
Source: RNAcentral